Molecule: ribosomal RNA, 409 nt
Filed under: uncultured microorganism
Description: bacterial SSU rRNA
Rfam family: Archaeal small subunit ribosomal RNA
Source: RNAcentral
GUGCACCAGGCGCGAAACCUCCGCAAUACACGAAAGUGUGACGGGGUUACCCAAAGUGUCCAAAUUUGGACUGUGGUAGGUGAGUAAUGUCCCCUACUAGAAAGGAGAGGGCAAGGCUGGUGCCAGCCGCCGCGGUAAAACCAGCUCUUCAAGUGGUCGGGAUAAUUAUUGGGCUUAAAGUGUCCGUAGCCGGUUUAGUAAGUUCCUGGUAAAAUCGGGUAGCUUAACUAUCUGUAUGCUAGGAAUACUGCUAUACUAGAGGGCGGGAGAGGUCUGAGGUACUACAGGGGUAGGGGUGAAAUCCUGUAAUCCUUGUAGGACCACCAGUGGCGAAGGCGUCAGACUGGAACGCGCCUGACGGUGAGGGACGAAAGCCAGGGGAGCGAACCGGAUUAGAUACCCGUGUAGU